This 482-nucleotide ribosomal RNA is filed under the name uncultured bacterium. RNAcentral's name for it is "partial 16S ribosomal RNA". It matches the Rfam family "Bacterial small subunit ribosomal RNA", at positions 30 to 507 of the family's 1533-position model. The record is from RNAcentral.
AUUGAACGCUGGCGGCAUGCUUUACACAUGCAAGUCGAACGGUAACAGGCCGCAAGGUGCUGACGAGUGGCGAACGGGUGAGUAAUGCAUCGGAACGUGCCCAGCCGUGGCGGAUAACUACCCGAAAGCGUAGCUAAUACCGCAUACGAUCUCUGGAUGACAGCGGGGGACCGUAAGGCCUCGCGCGUUUGGAGCGGACGCUGUCAGACUAGGUAGUUGGUGGGGUUAAGGCCCACCAAGCCAACGAUCUGUAGCUGGUCUGAGAGGACGACCAGCCACACUGGGACUGAGACACGGCCCAGACUCCUACGGGAGGCAGCAGUGGGGAAUUGUGGACAAUGGGCGCAAGCCUGAUCCAGCAAUGCCGCGUGCAGGAAGAGGGCCUUCGGGUUGUAAACUGCUUUUGUACGGAACGAAACGGCUCUGGUUAAUACCCGGGGCUAACGACGGUACCGUAAGAAUAAGCACCGGCUAACUACGUG